UUAGACUUUAUGGACUUGAGAAAAAU
This 26-nucleotide non-coding RNA is filed under the name Mus musculus (house mouse). Lineage: Eukaryota; Metazoa; Chordata; Mammalia; Rodentia; Muridae. RNAcentral also lists the same sequence under 1 other name. The record is from RNAcentral.